UAUUUCCCCACAGAUUAGCUACACCAUAGGCAGCAGCAGCAGCGUUCCCACACGCUGCCCAGACAGUGUGCCUUGACCUGACCUGGAGGGACCUUCCUAGGGCAAGA
RNAcentral lists this small RNA (107 nucleotides) under Chrysemys picta bellii (western painted turtle). Its description in RNAcentral is "TUC338 (ENSCPBG00000020345.1)". Lineage: Eukaryota; Metazoa; Chordata; Testudines; Emydidae. The record is from RNAcentral.